GCCUACGGGACGCAGCAGUGGGGAAUAUUGCACAAUGGGGGGAACCCUGAUGCAGCGACGCCGCGUGAGUGAAGAAGUAUUUCGGUAUGUAAAGCUCUAUCAGCAGGGAAGAAAAUGACGGUACCUGACUAAGAAGCCCCGGCUAACUACGUGCCAGCAGCCGCGGUAAUACGUAGGGGGCAAGCGUUAUCCGGAUUUACUGGGUGUAAAGGGAGCGUAGACGGCAGAGCAAGUCUGGAGUGAAAGCCCGGGGCCCAACCCCGGGACUGCUUUGGAAACUGUGUAACUGGAGUACAGGAGGGGCG
This 305-nucleotide ribosomal RNA is filed under the name uncultured bacterium. Its description in RNAcentral is "bacterial SSU rRNA". It matches the Rfam family "Bacterial small subunit ribosomal RNA", at positions 337 to 659 of the family's 1533-position model. The record is from RNAcentral.